This 107-nucleotide small nuclear RNA is filed under the name Carlito syrichta (Philippine tarsier). The record is from RNAcentral. Lineage: Eukaryota; Metazoa; Chordata; Mammalia; Primates; Tarsiidae.
GUGCUCGCUUCGGCAGCACAUAUACUAAAAUUGCGACAAUACAGAGAAGAUUAGCAUGGUCCCUGCACAAGGAUGACAUGCAAAUUCGUGAAGCGUUCCAUAUUUUU